GAAAAAUAGGUAUAAGUGUUGUCUAAACACUAUUAAUCCAUCUCUAACUCUUAUAACUAGUCAAAUGCAUUGGAUUGUGUCACAUUUUUACCA
This 93-nucleotide small RNA is filed under the name Arabidopsis thaliana (thale cress). RNAcentral's name for it is "ATSL035210". The record is from RNAcentral. Lineage: Eukaryota; Viridiplantae; Streptophyta; Magnoliopsida; Brassicales; Brassicaceae.